This 492-nucleotide ribosomal RNA is filed under the name uncultured bacterium. RNAcentral's name for it is "partial 16S ribosomal RNA". It matches the Rfam family "Bacterial small subunit ribosomal RNA", at positions 29 to 507 of the family's 1533-position model. The record is from RNAcentral.
AGUGAACGCUGGCGGUAGGCCUAACACAUGCAAGUCGAACGGCAGCACAGUAAGAGCUUGCUCUUACGGGAGGCGAGUGGCGGACGGGUGAGGAAUACAUCGGAAUCUACUUUUUCGUGGGGGAUAACGUAGGGAAACUGACGCUAAUACCGCAUACGACCUACGGGUGAAAGCAGGGGAUCUUCGGACCUUGCGCGAUUGAAUGAGCCGAUGUCGGAUUAGCUAGUUGGCGGGGUAAAGGCCCACCAAGGCGACGGUCCGUAGCUGGUCUGGGAGGAUGAUCAGCCACACUGGAACUGAGACACGGCCCAGACUCCAACGGGAGGGAGCAGCGGGGAACAUUGGACAAAGGGCGCAAGCCUGAUCCAGCCAUACCGCGUGGGUGAAGAAGGCCUUCGGGUUGUAAAGCCCUUUUGUUGGGAAAGAAAAGCAGCAGGUUAAUACCCCGCUGUUCUGACGGUACCCAAAGAAUAAGCACGGGCUAACUUCGUG